This 253-nucleotide ribosomal RNA is filed under the name uncultured bacterium. RNAcentral describes it as "partial 16S ribosomal RNA". It matches the Rfam family "Bacterial small subunit ribosomal RNA", at positions 524 to 776 of the family's 1533-position model. The record is from RNAcentral.
UACGGAGGGUGCGAGCGUUGUCCGGAUUUAUUGGGUUUAAAGGGUGCGUAGGUGGCUUGAUAAGUCAGUGGUGAAAUACAGCCGCUCAACGGUUGAGGUGCCAUUGAUACUGUCAAGCUUGAAGGAAUUGGAGGCUGCCGGAAUGGAUGGUGUAGCGGUGAAAUGCAUAGAUAUCAUCCAGAACACCGAUUGCGAAGGCAGGUGGCUACGAUUGAUUUGACACUGAGGCACGAAAGCAUGGGGAGCAAACAGG